Molecule: ribosomal RNA, 492 nt
Filed under: uncultured bacterium
Lineage: Bacteria
Description: partial 16S ribosomal RNA
Rfam family: Bacterial small subunit ribosomal RNA
Source: RNAcentral
AGUGAACGCUGGCGGUAGGCCUAACACAUGCAAGUCGAACGGCAGCACAGUAAGAGCUUGCUCUUACGGGUGGCGAGUGGCGGACGGGUGAGGAAUACAUCGGAAUCUACUUUUUCGUGGGGGAUAACGUAGGGAAACUUACGCUAAUACCGCAUACGACCUUCGGGUGAAAGCAGGGGAUCUUCGGACCUUGCGCGAUUGAAUGAGCCGAUGUCGGAUUAGCUAGUUGGCGGGGUAAAGGCCCACCAAGGCGACGAUCCGUAGCUGGUCUGAGAGGAUGAUCAGCCACACUGGAACUGAGACACGGUCCAGACUCCUACGGGAGGCAGCAGUGGGGAAUAUUGGACAAUGGGCGCAAGCCUGAUCCAGCCAUGCCGCGUGGGUGAAGAAGGCCUUCGGGUUGUAAAGCCCUUUUGUUGGGAAAGAAAAGCAGCAGGUUAAUACCCCGCUGUUCUGACGGUACCCAAAGAAUAAGCACCGGCUAACUUCGUG